RNAcentral lists this ribosomal RNA (301 nucleotides) under uncultured bacterium. RNAcentral's name for it is "partial 16S ribosomal RNA". It matches the Rfam family "Bacterial small subunit ribosomal RNA", at positions 509 to 809 of the family's 1533-position model. The record is from RNAcentral.
CAGUUGCCACGGUAAAACAGAGGGUGCAAGCGUUAAUCGGAAUUACUGGGCGUAAAGCGCGCGUAGGUGGUUUGUUAAGUUGGAUGUGAAAUCCCCGGGCUCAACCUGGGAACUGCAUCCAAAACUGGCAAGCUAGAGUAUGGUAGAGGGUGGUGGAAUUCCCUGUGUAGCGGUGAAAUGCGUAGAUAUAGGAAGGAACACCAGUGGCGAAGGCGACCACCUGGACUGAUACUGACACUGAGGUGCGAAAGCGUGGGGAGCAAACAGGAUUAGAUACCCCCGUAGUCCCUGUCUCUUAUAA